This 118-nucleotide ribosomal RNA is filed under the name Salmo salar (Atlantic salmon). The record is from RNAcentral. Lineage: Eukaryota; Metazoa; Chordata; Actinopteri; Salmoniformes; Salmonidae.
GCUACGGCCAUACCAGCCUGGGUACGCCCGAUCUCGUCUGAUCUCGGAAGCUAAGCAGGUUCGUGCCUGGUUAGUACUUGGAUGGGAGACCGCCUGGGAAUACCAGGUGCUGUAAGCA